Molecule: non-coding RNA, 219 nt
Organism: Pelobates cultripes (western spadefoot toad)
Lineage: Eukaryota; Metazoa; Chordata; Amphibia; Anura; Pelobatidae
Source: the annotation of a GenBank genome assembly
CUGGCUGCGAGCCUGCCCAGUAUAUGGCCUGGAGGGCCUGUUUGGCUUCCAGCUCUCAGAACCAUGUCUGCAAUGCUCAUUGUAAACUAAAUCAGGACAGGACCCAGAAAUCAGGACUCUCCUACCCAGACUGGGCCAGCUGGGGGGGGGGGAGGGGUUGUCAGCACUGAUUAUGGUGUUUGGAGCCUAUAACAACGUUACAUUUCAAUUUACAAUUCA